UACGGAGGGUGCAAGCGUUAUCCGGAUUUACGUGGGUUUAAAGGGUGUGUAGGCGGGCUUUUAAGUCAGUGGUGAAAUCUCCGGGCUCAACCUGGAAACUGCCAUUGAUACUAUUAGUCUUGAAUUUUGUUGAGGUAGGCGGAAUAAGUCAUGUAGCGGUGAAAUGCAUAGAUAUGACUUAGAACACCAAUUGCGAAGGCAGCUUGCUAAACAAAUAUUGACGCUGAGGCACGAAAGCGUGGGGAUCAAACAGGA
Molecule: ribosomal RNA, 255 nt
Filed under: uncultured bacterium
Lineage: Bacteria
Description: partial 16S ribosomal RNA
Rfam family: Bacterial small subunit ribosomal RNA
Source: RNAcentral